This is a non-coding RNA of Drosophila melanogaster (fruit fly), 2784 nucleotides long. NCBI's taxonomy places the organism in Eukaryota, Metazoa, Arthropoda, Insecta, Diptera, Drosophilidae. The record is from Ensembl.
AAUACUUUUAGCGUACAAACCCCCCUUUUCGAGAGUCACGCGACCAUCUCCUUCGGGGACUUCUGCCUGCUGCUUGCUGCCUGCUCCCAGCUGCAUAAUAAUUUAUGAUCGCGUCCAAGAUGUGGGUUAAUCGUGUUUUGGGCUAGUUUCUUGCCCCAGCUUGUCUCUGCGCGGAGACUGCAUCCCCGGCAGACUGCAGCAUCAUCUAAAUACAAUCCCAAGAUUGCUGCUGGUUGGCUUUCUGCGCUGUGGCAUGUUCUUCACAUCCAAUUACUGGGUCAGGGACCUGCAAGUCCUGAUCUGCGCUCGGCAAUUUCCACAACGAGAAACUCCCACUUCAGUACGCCCACCCACCCGCCUUCCUUCUAGCCAUCAUUUUCCCGCUCUCUGUCAGUCAGUCAAUUGCAAAUGGGGCAUUUAAUCUCGGGGAAUGCGUAGCAGGCGUCUGCAGACCUCGCACGAUUCCCAAGGCAAUUAGCCAUGCAAGAUGCCUUGUAUUCAUUGCCAAUGACCCCCUAUUCAGUGCCAUAGCCUUUUAGGAGUUCCAUUCUGGCUGUGAUGAGCCGCCAAAAAGCAAUAAAAUAUCAUUUUAUUAGCAUGCGGACUCGACUGAACUGCCAAGGUGGAGGCGUUCUCUAUCUCCACAGCCCCCCUUCUCUCUUUCUGUAAAUAGCUUCCAUUGUGAGCAGCCACAAAAGCAAGACACGUGCACUUGCAACCAAACGAGGUGGGCUUAAUUUUCAGGACAAACUCAAUAUUUACGCAAAUUGAGUUGUGACUAUUGCUGAUUUCACCAUCCUUAUCCCUAAUCCACUGGGCAGAGUAAAUGCCGAAAAGCAGGGCAGACUGCCUGCAGUAUUUAGUAUGCAGUUACAGAUUUCGUGCUCGUUCCAGGCUCUCUAUGGGUCUCUGGGUCCCCGAGCUCGUUGCCCAAUGUCCAACGUCCAGUGUCCAGCGUCCAGUGUCCCUGGCUGCUGGAUCAGAAUUUAUGCAUAUGACCUUAGUUAUUGACAUAAUUUCGUGGCUGGCGGAUUGGGCACGAAACGAAAACGAAAUGCGCAUUAAAUGCUGGUUGGGGCCCGAAAGGGAAAGAGAGAUUCCGAUUCCCCGAUCCGCCGGCUUCUCGAUUGUGCGAAAUGUUCACGCUGCUUUGGACAAAUGCGCAAAUUUGUACGCAGGGAAGGGAAGGGGCCGCCGAGGCAGUGGAUCCGCGGAUCGGAUCAGGUGAUUAUCACGGCCUCCUCCUCGCCGGUGCAUUUGUCAAAUUUUCCACUUAAUCCGAAGUCAGCCGUGCUCACAUGGAAAAUUGUCACAGGCUCGCGUAAAGUUAAGGCUGGUAAAAGGCGCCCCACGGCGACUCAGCUCCAUUGAGCUUCUCUGGACCGCGGCGCUUUAAUUGGUCUUAUGAAACGGACAAAGUGCGAAAUGAGUUAUGCGCACGCGCGCACCCGCAGUUGAGUCCCAGUCCCCCAGUGUCCAUCCCCCAAUCCGGUCUCCACCGCGAAGUCCAGCUCUACAGCCGAUCUCUGAGUACGAAUACGAAUACGAAUACGAAUCCGAAUCCGUGGCCGAUAAUGAACGCAUGUGGGAAUUCGAAAAUUGGAUUUGGGUAUUGUGCAACCAGCUUGGAAGUUGGAAGCCAGUGACACGGGAAGAAAAAAAACUGAGGUGUUUGGCUUUGGACGCCACGAAGAAAAUACCAUUGACAUCAGAUAAUAGUCAGAGUAUAUAAGAAAAUGAAAAGUAUUUCUCUGACUGCAUCGAGUUUGCCCACUGCAUUAGGAUUUUCGCUGCUGCCGUUGCAGUUCCACAGAUGCAAAAGUGCAAAUACUACGAAUGUGAGUGUAAGUGUGAGCACGCAAAGUAUCUAUUAGCGUCGCCUUUGCGCGCUGAAGUCAAACGGAAUCUGUUUAGCAGUCGCUGUCUUUGGCGUUUCUGUUUCUGUUUUCCCCGUUCGGGUUUCGGCCAUCGCGAAUUAUCUGUUAAUUUGUGGCAAUUUAGAGAUUUGCAGAUACGAAACUCACUCUGUGCAUUCAACGGCAGCUGCUGAUACGCGAAGUCAUUGGACAGAAGUCAGCAAGUGGCUAACCGAUAUGGAUGGUGGCUGAUCAUCACUUGCUGAUCGAACAGGGGCUUGCUUUUCCAGUCGGAGAAAACCCGAGUUCCUGUCAAUGGAAGUUAUAAAAUCUUUUUGUUUAGGGGAUGGUAAUUAUCUUGGUAUAUAGCGAACAAAUCAGCUUCCUUGUCUCGAGUUUCCACUGACAUACUUUCCGUGGUUUCUAAUCCCCCACAAAUCGAUUGACCGAACGCAGCAUACUGUAUACUCCAAUGUCCAGAGGGGGCAUCCAUUUUGGCACAGACUGUUCCAGCAUUAAACUUGGCCCAGACUAAGCCACGAUAAAUUCCUGACCAGCCGAACUGAACUGGGCGCAAGCAGCAAACCACAAACAAGAUCCGGAUGAAGGGGUGAGUUCGCAGACGAGCUCACUCGCUCCCAAUACGCAUGCGCAAUUUUUCAAAAGCUUUUAACGUGAAGAGCCCAGAAAAUUACGAUGUAAUUUUUGUAAUUUCUGUAAUUGCCUAAUUCUGAUUAAUUUGAAUUGCGAGAGGGGGGCAGAUCACCAAUUGGAGUCCGAUGCCCAACACGACUAUUUUUGCCAGUGCACUGGCAUGUGGCUCCAAUAAGCAUUCCCUGGUUACCUUCGGUGAUCUUCUCACAUCCAUUUCUAGGUGCAGAUAAAAAAAUUAGGUAAUGUGCUAAGUUGUUAAAUAAAAUAAAUCAAU